CUACUUGCUAGCUUUGCAAUCCUUCAACCUUGAACUAGAACUUGUGUGAAUGUGUGUGUGUGUGUGUGUUAGUGUGUGUGUGUGUGUGUGUGCUGGCACUGAGAGUUCCUGGUAAGGGGGAAAACACAUUCCAAUUCUGCCUUAGUCAGAAAAGUCACUUAUAUACACACACACACACUCACACUCACACACACACCGGUUGGUUGGUGUUACUGCGGCAUGGUUUGGCUGCAGCUAUAGUCCAGGGGGGAGGGCUCUCACUCACACACACACACUCUCUGUCUCUCUCUCUCUCUCUCUCUUACACACACACACUUCUCGACUUCUCGCGCUCUCCCUCACACACUGACUGAAUUGCACUGCCUCCUCCUCGUUAGCUGUGUGUGUUACACUCCUGACAGGAUUGCAUGAGACAGGCACGUCCAAGGCUGGCUGUCCUGAGUGUGUGUAUGUAUGUAUGUAUGUGUGUGUGUGGGUGUGUAUGACGUGUCUCCUCCUGUCUCCCUGCCAACUGCGGACUUUUGACUUUCCUUUUUCCAGCAUUUGGAUUAUUAGGUGAGACUUAUGAAUCACAAGGAGUGACACUAUGGACUUCAGUCUGGUGCUCAGACACUACAAACCCAAAAAUUUCCCUUCAGCUGGGUGACACCUCUUCUCGAUCCUUCCUGUUGGCCCCAAGUGAAUCAUAUAGUGACCAGUUGAAGCUAUGGGCCAUGUGGCAGAGCUGAUUGGCUAAAUUCUGUCUGGAUUUACUGGUUUGUGAUUGGAGAUAUGAGUGAAAUUCAGCCAUCUGCGGAUUCCAUGAAACCCCCAGAUGGGGUUCACCAUACCAUGCGACUGCCAUUACACAGUGGUGCUACAGAGGGCAGUGCUUAUGCCGAAUCUUCGUCAUCAUCCUCAGCGUCACCAGACUCCAUGCGCAGCCUUAGUAGCCUUAGUGGAGGACGAACGGACAGCCCACUGGACCUGGACAUGCCUGAUGGGAUUAUGGGAAGGAAGGUCACCACAGGUGAGGACGACUCUGGGAUUCAAAGCCCAGACUGUAGACCCGAAAACGAUAAUGACAACUCAACGUCCAUCUACUUAGAUGCGGAUGAGCAAGGGUGGUGUGAAAUUCGUGAUGACCAGGAUAACGUCACUCUGGUUCUGACCCACAAACAAGGACUGAACAAUGGCUGCAGUGAUGUCAAUAGCAAUGGUAACCACGGAAGGCGGAGUUCAGAUGACUCUUCUGCAACAGAAGCAUUGCUGUGCUGUUCUGGGAAUGAGGAGAAGGAGGAUGAAGACGAAGAGGAAGACACUUUCCUGUCUCUAACUUCCGUUGAUGUGGUGAUGAAGUGCCAGAAUGAACCUGAGGAGGAUGAGAUUCAGAGCUCAACACGAAAGCUCAAUGUGAACUCUGUCUACAAGCUUCAAAAUGAAUCUCUUCAGGAUGAAGAUGAGUGGGGCCAGAUGGAGAGCUCCUGGAGGCCUGACCUAGGCAAUAUGAAUUGGCUCCAUCAGAAACCUCUUCAGGAGUCAAUAGUGAGUCGCACUGAGAAGAGCCAGUUGCAGAGCUCAACCAGAAGGUUCAGUGUGGGUCAUGUGAGUGAGCUCUAUAAGGAAGCUCCUCAGGACUCAGUAAAACUUCAUACUGAAGAUAGGCAAUUGCAAAGCUCAACCAAAUGGUUCAGUGUGGAUCAUAUUAGCAAGCUCCAUCAGGUAGCUCUUGAAGACGCAAUGAAGCUUCACACUGAGAAUAGGCAAUUGCAGAGUUCAACCAAAAUUCCUAGUGUGGUCCAAGUGAGAACAAUCCAACAGGAGGCUCCUCUGGAGUUUCCUAGUAGGUCUGACAUAACCUCUGUGACUGAACUUAAUCAGGAGGCUCUUCCGGAAUCAGUUGAGCUUCACCCAGACCUGGGACAGAUGCAGAGCUCAAUCAGGGGGUCUACUGUGAAUGCUGUGGAUGAUCCUCAGGAAUCAGUAGAACCGCAGCCUGAGGACGAUGAGAUACCGAACUUAGCCAGGGCAAUUAAUAUGGACUCUGUAAAGGAGCUUCAGGAAUCAGUGGAACUUUACAACGAAGAGGACCAGAUCCAUAACUCAUCCAGGACCACCAAUAUGGACACUGCAAAUAAGCUUCAAGAAUUGGUGGAACUACACACUGAGGAGGACCAGCUGCAGAGCUCAUCCAAGAGGCUGGAUGUAGGUCCUGUAAGUGAGCUUAUGGUCUUUGAAGAGCCUCAAGUUGAGACAAGUUUAUCUCAACCACUUUCAGAAGGGGAAACUUCCAUACCCCUCCAGGAAGCACAAAACACACAUGUCUCUUCUGCCACCAUCACAGAUACCACAUGCUGUGUCCAAGUAACACCUGCCUUGCAGAACACUAAAGAUUGCACAGGUCAAAGUCUUACUAGACCUGCCACGAAACCACUAACGUCCAAAUCCACCAAACCAGAACUGAAACGCUUUCCUAGACCUGACCUGAAGAAUGUCAAAGCCAAGAUCAUUUCGAGAACUUCCUCUGUCCCAAGACCAGCUAGUUCCAGUCAAUCAGGUGCAGGCACUGAGAAGAAGCCUUUGCCUACUAGAGGCAGAGUGGCCAACAAGAAAGAGCAAGACAAAGAGGAGGAAACAAGAGUCACCAAGAAGAGCAGGUCAUCCUCAAGACAGGCAAGAGCGGCGAUACCUGCAACUGUUUCAGACCCCAACCCUAAAGCCAUACCCCCUCAGACAGAGAAAAGACCACCCCCAAAUACCACCCCAGAGGUGGUUGUCAACCGAGACCAGGAGGAGAGCAGCAGUGCAGAGGUCAUGGAGGUAGUGAAGGAAGAGGCAGAGUAUCCCAAAGAGGAGGUCACUCUAGUGGAACAGUCUGUAGAGAUUCCUGAUGACUCAGACCAGAAGGGGUCCAGAGUGAAGCCCCCCAAAUCUACGGGAGGGAAUGUGUGUGUGCCCGCAGGGGUACGAGCUGCUGCGCCGGCCGGUGCUCCCAAGACAUGUAGCCCUGUCUCCUCCAGCGGUCGAGGUCCUCAAAAGCUCACCUCCUCCAAACUGCCAGUCAAGGGAGGCGGCCUACCCACAACCCCCAGCUCCUCGUCACUGGGGAGUGCAGCCAGUGAGAACAACACUGCAAUCAACAACAGAGGUGUCGCUCAGGUGAUGAAGAAUGAAGAGAAAGCUGUAAGACUCCCAUCAUCCUCACAGGGAAAGCCUGCUAUCGGUAAAGCAACAGUGGGAAUCCGUAACAGAGCAAACUCUACACCUGUGAAGCCCACCUCCGCAGGCCAGAAGGCCCUAACACAGACCAGUACCACUGCAGCCAAGUCUACCCACAAUGCCCUGCAGCGCAGCGCUUCUGCAAGACCCAACCGGCCCUCUGGAUCUGCAGGUAUACUGUGUGUUUGUUGGGUGUGAGUUUGCGUGUGUCUAUGUGUAAAGAAAUUAAGUGUUUCAUGGGGACUACAUUGUGGGGACUACAGUAUAAACAUAGUGUGCUGUGUGCACAUUUUUAGCGCAUUGUGAGACCCCAGAGUGAAUAUUGUGAUGUGACUUUGAACACCAGUGGGUGUGUGUGCAUGUUUUUAGUUAAUUGUGGGGACCACAUUGUGUGACUCCAGAGAUGAAUAUUGUAAUGUGACCUGGAUUAGAAGUGUGUGUGUGUGCAUGGUUUUAUUGUUUUGUGGGGACCACCUUUUAAGGUCCCCAGGAUCUUGAUGUGGCCUGGAUUAUGAGUACACGUGUGUGCAUGUGUUUUUAGUGCUUUAGGGGGGACGCAGGAUAAACAUUGAGAUUUGACAUGGAAUACAAGUGUGUGUGUGAGAGUGAAAUAUUUACAUACAUAACUUUUUAAUUAAGACCAAAUACUGCAUAUCUCGUACACACCCACACAAAAACACACACACAUACAUGUGCACAGUCACUGGUUAUGCUGACUCACUUUUUAGACAUUUGGGGCUCAGCCCAUAAAUACUUAAGAGGUGUGUCAAGUAGAGUGAGUUCAUGGAGAGACAAAGAGAUAGAGAGAGAGAGAGAGAUAGAGAGAGAGAGAGAGAGAGAGAGAGAGAGAGAGAAAGAGAAACAGAAAAAGAGUGGGCAGGGAGUUAGAGUUUGGAGAGAUGCUUGAUGCCUUGCAUUGCAUUUAAGAAAAUAAUAAAAUGAUAAAAUAUAAAGAACA
RNAcentral lists this long non-coding RNA (4156 nucleotides) under Astyanax mexicanus (Mexican tetra). RNAcentral's name for it is "lncRNA (ENSAMXG00005006905.1)". Lineage: Eukaryota; Metazoa; Chordata; Actinopteri; Characiformes; Acestrorhamphidae. The record is from RNAcentral.